UACGUAGGGUGCAAGCGUUUGUCCGGAAUUAUUGGGCGUAAAGAGCUCGUAGGCGGUUUGUCGCGUCUGCUGUGAAAACCCGAGGCUCAACCUCGGGCCUGCAGUGGGUACGGGCAGACUAGAGUGCGGUAGGGGGAGAUUGGAAUUCCUGGUGUAGCGGUGGAAUGCGCAGAUAUCAGGAGGAACACCAAUGGCGAAGGCAGAUCUCUGGGCCGUAACUGACGCUGAGGAGCGAAAGCAUGGGGAGCGAACAGG
This 255-nucleotide ribosomal RNA is filed under the name uncultured bacterium. Its description in RNAcentral is "partial 16S ribosomal RNA". It matches the Rfam family "Bacterial small subunit ribosomal RNA", at positions 524 to 776 of the family's 1533-position model. The record is from RNAcentral.